Molecule: long non-coding RNA, 575 nt
Filed under: Phascolarctos cinereus (koala)
Lineage: Eukaryota; Metazoa; Chordata; Mammalia; Diprotodontia; Phascolarctidae
Description: lncRNA (ENSPCIG00000030029.2)
Source: RNAcentral
AUUCCUUUCAAAGUAGCUAUCAUAAAGUAUGACACAAGAGACAUCUUUCCCAGCUUGGUGGGAAGCAAACCCUUGGUCAUCACUCUUCAAAAAAGAGGGUACAAGCAUAUUCGAGUGAAAGCUCAUCUGUCCUUGAUCUUCCUGUCAUUAACCAAUACCCCCUCUGCCCAGACUUCAUGAAAAUGAAAGCUGGGAGAUGGAGACUCAAAGAAAAGCAGGAUUCAAGAUAUCAAGGCCUCCCCCAUUUCAUAAAGCCAACCAAAAAAAUGAUGAUUCUGGAUGCCCCAAGGCACCUACAACUUCCCCUCAUGGAUUUUAUGAAUGACAAGUUGAUAAACUCAAAAUACAAGUCUACAGAAACCUUUCUCAAUGAGGACAUCAAAGCAGAAAAUGUUAAGUACAGACUGCCAAUGAGGGCCAUCUGGGGUCCCAAAAAACCCUUACAGACACUAUAUACUGACCUUAUAACAUCCUCCAAGACUCCAACUUACAAAAAAGAAUCUCUUCCAGAUCCGAAGAAUACGUGGGCAGAAUUCAACAUCAACAAGAUUCCUAAGCACAGUAAAUACUACUGA